Molecule: ribosomal RNA, 260 nt
Filed under: uncultured bacterium
Lineage: Bacteria
Description: partial 16S ribosomal RNA
Rfam family: Bacterial small subunit ribosomal RNA
Source: RNAcentral
GUCCACGCCGUAAACGAUGCACACUAGUUGCUCCUUUCCUUAGUGAGGGGGGUGACGAAGCUAACGCAUUAAGUGUGCCGCCUGGGGAGUACGGUCGCAAGAUUAAAACUCAAAGGAAUUGACGGGGACCCGCACAAGCGGUGGAGCAUGUGGUUUAAUUCGAAGCAACGCGAAGAACCUUACCUGGACUUGACAUUGAUAGAACCUGGGGUAAUGCCCGGGGUGCCUUUUAGGAGCUUGAAAACAGGUGCUGCAUGGCU